RNAcentral lists this ribosomal RNA (230 nucleotides) under uncultured bacterium. RNAcentral describes it as "partial 16S ribosomal RNA". It matches the Rfam family "Bacterial small subunit ribosomal RNA", at positions 91 to 334 of the family's 1533-position model. The record is from RNAcentral.
UAAAGCGGCGCACGGGUGAGUAACACUGGAUGAUCUACCCUAUGGUGGGGAAUAACCCCUGGGAAAACUGGGGCUAAUACCGCAUAAGUUCGAGAGAAGAAAGCCGCAAGGCGCCAUUGGAGGAGUCCGCGGCCGAUUAGCUAGUUGGUGAGGUAAAAGCUCACCAAGGCGACGAUCGGUAGCCGGCCUGAGAGGGCACACGGCCACACUGGCACUGAAACACGGGCCAG